This 529-nucleotide small RNA is filed under the name Didymella glomerata. RNAcentral's name for it is "eukaryotic LSU rRNA". The stretch from base 159 to 312 matches the Rfam family "5.8S ribosomal RNA". Lineage: Eukaryota; Fungi; Ascomycota; Dothideomycetes; Pleosporales; Didymellaceae. The record is from RNAcentral.
CCUGCGGAAGGAUCAUUACCUAGAGUUGUAGGCUUUGCCUGCUAUCUCUUACCCAUGUCUUUUGAGUACCUUACGUUUCCUCGGCGGGUCCGCCCGCCGAUUGGACAAUUUAAACCAUUUGCAGUUGCAAUCAGCGUCUGAAAAAACUUAAUAGUUACAACUUUCAACAACGGAUCUCUUGGUUCUGGCAUCGAUGAAGAACGCAGCGAAAUGCGAUAAGUAGUGUGAAUUGCAGAAUUCAGUGAAUCAUCGAAUCUUUGAACGCACAUUGCGCCCCUUGGUAUUCCAUGGGGCAUGCCUGUUCGAGCGUCAUUUGUACCUUCAAGCUCUGCUUGGUGUUGGGUGUUUGUCUCGCCUCUGCGUGUAGACUCGCCUCAAAACAAUUGGCAGCCGGCGUAUUGAUUUCGGAGCGCAGUACAUCUCGCGCUUUGCACUCAUAACGACGACGUCCAAAAGUACAUUUUUACACUCUUGACCUCGGAUCAGGUAGGGAUACCCGCUGAACUUAAGCAUAUCAAUAAGCGGAGGA